Molecule: long non-coding RNA, 1182 nt
Filed under: Triticum aestivum (bread wheat)
Lineage: Eukaryota; Viridiplantae; Streptophyta; Magnoliopsida; Poales; Poaceae
Description: lnc_693
Source: RNAcentral
GAUUUAAGAGCACGGAAAUGCUCUACUUGUGAUGAUAGUUGAUGCAGAUCUGUGCAAUUGCCAAUAGAGUACCUUGCAACUCCACACUUAGUCUGACAAAAUGAUGAUGUCAGCCUCACGGCUUCGGUUCCAUGUCUCGAUAGAGCUUGUGAAUAGCUCGCACUACUAUCAUCUCAAGCGAUGGUAGCAUAGGGCCCAGAUGACCCUUUUUGUUGGAGGCAUGGAUGAGGAAUUUCUUAUUGUUGCUACCGUCCGUCCCAAUGCAGCCGCUAUCACCGCUCCAACCUCGGCUUUGAUGCCAGUCUGAAACUACAAAAUUCUUCCUGUUUAAAAACAUAGCAGUCAUAUUCACAACAUGACAAAUGUUUUUGUAAGACAUGCUAUUGUAGUUAGCCUUUAUUUUCAUCCCUGAGCGAUCACCCAAGUCUAGACCAUCAGGGAUGGGAGAGCCUAUCCAAGCAAGGCACACAAUACCAUUUCUUCCAGUGAACGAAUGAAAAAGUAGGGCUCUAUGGACCAACAUUAUAUUUACUGCUUCAUAUUCCUCUACUUUCACUAUCGGUGAAUUGCGUAUAGAACUUGAUCUUGGAGGUGGACUGGGGCUCUAUGGUGCUAGCUAGCUCUUCCAUUUUUAGAUAAAGUUGCUUGUUCUUCUUCAGGUCUCCUGCCAUAAACCAUGGAUGGCCUUUCUACACAACAAGUAUACAUAUGGGUUAAGCAUACAGUAGUGGCAGCAGCAGCAGCAUACAAAGCUACAAAUAGUAAAACCUAGAACAACAAAGUGGUAGGGUAGCAGAUGGUGUUUCCAAACUUCAAAGAAUUAUGUUACGUCACUUCAAAUCUUGUAUUGUAGUGUAUUUCACCAUUUAGAAGAGAGGACAAAAAUGCUUAUCAAUGUUUCUUACUGAACUAUCAUUUUAGAUAUCUUGUGUUUAAACUUUGCUAAUGGCAGAAUCCAGGAUGGAUUACUUGUGGUACUAAACAGAUAAUGGGGUUGUAACUGUUAUGUAUAUGAUGCUAACCACAUGCUUUGAUAGAAUCUUCAGAAGCUAGAAAAAAAUAGAAUGAGUUUCCCAUAUAUUGGAGGUUCAAUCUAACAAAAAAUCUCGGUUCUAAAAUGUAACAGGAGAACACAUUAACUUAACUGGAUAAUAGCACAUGAAUUAGGUAUUAUGCACAGUA